UACGUAGGUGGCAAGCGUUGUCCGGAAUUACUGGGGGUAAAGCGCGUGUAGGCGGCAGACCAAGUCGGCGGUGAAAGCGCCCGGCUCAACUGGGCGAGGUCCGUGGAAACUGGUCAGCUGGAGGACGGUAGAGGCGAGUGGAAUUCCCGGUGUAGUGGUGAAAUGCGUAGAGAUCGGGAGGAACACCUGUGGCGAAGGCGGCUCGCUGGGCCGGUCCUGACGCUGAGACGCGAAGGCGUGGGGAGCGAACGGG
This 253-nucleotide ribosomal RNA is filed under the name uncultured bacterium. RNAcentral describes it as "partial 16S ribosomal RNA". It matches the Rfam family "Bacterial small subunit ribosomal RNA", at positions 524 to 776 of the family's 1533-position model. The record is from RNAcentral.